RNAcentral lists this signal recognition particle RNA (302 nucleotides) under Callithrix jacchus (white-tufted-ear marmoset). RNAcentral's name for it is "Metazoan signal recognition particle RNA (ENSCJAG00000053797.2)". It matches the Rfam family "Metazoan signal recognition particle RNA". From Rfam's summary of the family: The signal recognition particle (SRP) is a universally conserved ribonucleoprotein. It is involved in the co-translational targeting of proteins to membranes. The record is from RNAcentral. Lineage: Eukaryota; Metazoa; Chordata; Mammalia; Primates; Cebidae.
GCUGGGCAUGGUGGUGUGCGUCUGUAGUCCCAGCUACUCGGGAGGCUGAGGCAGGAGAAUUGCUUGAACCCAGGAGGCGGAAGUUGCGGUGAGCCCAGAUCGCGCCAUUGCACUCCAGCCUGGGUAACAAGAGUGAAACUCCGUCUCAAAAAAAAAAAAAAGAAAUGUCCCGGGAGCGGGGGACCACCAGGUUGCCUAAGGAGGGGUGAACUGGCCCAGGUCGGAAACGAAGUAGGUCAAAACUCCGGUGCUUAUCAGUAGUGGGAUCGCACCUGUGAAUAGCCACUGCACUCCAGCCUGAC